Non-coding RNA from Bos taurus (domestic cattle), 73 nucleotides. The record is from Rfam. NCBI's taxonomy places the organism in Eukaryota, Metazoa, Chordata, Mammalia, Artiodactyla, Bovidae.
UCCUUGAAUGUCCAGUGGUUAAGACUCUGCACUUCCCAUGCAGUGGGUGUAGGUUUGAUCCCUGGUCAGGGAA